This 253-nucleotide ribosomal RNA is filed under the name uncultured bacterium. Its description in RNAcentral is "partial 16S ribosomal RNA". It matches the Rfam family "Bacterial small subunit ribosomal RNA", at positions 524 to 776 of the family's 1533-position model. The record is from RNAcentral.
UACGUAGGGCGCGAGCGUUGUCCGGAUUUAUUGGGCGUAAAGAGUUCGUAGGCGGUUUGUUGCGUCGACUGUGAAAACCCGGGGCUCAACCUCGGGCUUGCAGUCGAUACGGGCAGGCUGGAGUUCGGUAGGGGAGACUGGAAUUCCUGGUGUAGCGGUGAAAUGCGCAGAUAUCAGGAGGAACACCGGUGGCGAAGGCGGGUCUCUGGGCCGAUAUUGACGCUGAGGAGCGAAAGCGUGGGGAGCGAACAGG